RNAcentral lists this ribosomal RNA (262 nucleotides) under uncultured bacterium. RNAcentral describes it as "partial 16S ribosomal RNA". It matches the Rfam family "Bacterial small subunit ribosomal RNA", at positions 28 to 292 of the family's 1533-position model. The record is from RNAcentral.
GACGAACGCUGGCGGCGUGCUUAACACAUGCAAGUCGAGCGGUAAGGCCCUUCGGGGUACACGAGCGGCGAACGGGUGAGUAACACGUGGGUGACCUGCCUCUAGCUCUGGGAUAAGCCUGGGAAACUGGGUCUAAUACCGGAUAUGACUCCACGGCGCAAUGUUGUGGGGUGAAAGCCUUGUGUGGCUAGAGAUGGGCCCGCGGCCUAUCGAGCUUGUUGGUGGGGNGAUGGCCUACCAAGGCGACGACGGGUAGCCGGCC